AUGACUUGCAAAUCCCCCAGCUCUCCAACUUUCUCUCUCCUGUGGGUGAUGCUGGCCAGGACCCUCCACCCCUAAGCUAUGCUUGGGUAACUCUCACUGGCCAGCUUUGCCUUUUCCAGAAUGUCACAUAGUUGGAGUCAUACAAGUUUUCAACAUGAAUUGAUGAUGAAGAUGAUGAUGGUACCUACCUGGUGAUGCCCUGGUUAACUAGGUAGGGGAUCUUCAUGCUCUUUGCUUGACAAGAAGGAAAAAGUCGGCAAGUGAAGGAGAAAAAAUAAAAGUGAUAGAAUCUGGUCACUGAAGCAUCACCCCAGACCCUGGUGACAUCAUCCUCAUUCCUGCAUCAGGAGAGGUGUCUUUCCAGGCAGAGCAUCACUGAGAGGAGUACUCCGUCCCUGACAGACCUGGCUUGCAUCCUAGCCUAGAUAUUGAUUAUGUGACCUUAGACAAGUUUCCUAUCUUGAGCCUGAGCUUCCUCCACUAUUAAUUGGAGAUAAUAAUAAUUUCUAAUUGAGAUAAUUAGCAUAUGCUCUAAUUUGAGCAUAACAUGUGCUCAAAAAAUAGUGAUCACUGUUGUUUAUGGCUGCUCUUUACCAAGCACUGUGCAACAUGUUGGGUGUACUGCUCUUGGAUCCUGCUUGGGAUUCUCUCCCCCUCCCUCCCUCUCCCUCUCUCUCUCUCCUUCUCUUACUACCCC
Prionailurus viverrinus (fishing cat) is the source of this 697-nucleotide long non-coding RNA. RefSeq lists it as uncharacterized. The transcript is spliced from 4 exons. The record is from RefSeq and is a predicted model, not a curated record. Lineage: Eukaryota; Metazoa; Chordata; Mammalia; Carnivora; Felidae.